UCCAGACUCCUACGGGAGGCAGCAGUGGGGGAUAUUGCACAAUGGGGGGAACCCUGAUGCAGCGACGCCGCGUGGGUGAAGAAGCGCCUCGGCGCGUAAAGCCCUGUCAGCAGGGAAGAAAAUGACGGUACCUGAAGAAGAAGCCCCGGCUAACUACGUGCCAGCAGCCGCGGUAAUACGUAGGGGGCAAGCGUUAUCCGGAUUUACUGGGUGUAAAGGGAGCGUAGACGGCGCUGCAAGUCCGGAGUGAAAGCCCAUGGCUUAACCAUGGUACUGCUCUGGAAACUGUGGAGCUUGAGUGCGGGAGGGGCAGGCGGAAUUCCUAGUGUAGCGGUGAAAUGCGUAGAUAUUAGGAAGAACACCAGUGGCGAAGGCGGCUUGCUGGACAGUAACUGACGUUGAGGCUCGAAAGCGUGGGGAGCAAACAGGAUUAGAUACCCUUGUA
Molecule: ribosomal RNA, 445 nt
Filed under: uncultured bacterium
Lineage: Bacteria
Description: bacterial SSU rRNA
Rfam family: Bacterial small subunit ribosomal RNA
Source: RNAcentral